ACACACCCAGGCUAUAUGAUACUAAUCUUACGGGACCAUGGUCACAUAUGCAGUCCCUUGUUUAUCAUAAUGUC
Ceratotherium simum simum (southern white rhinoceros) is the source of this 74-nucleotide non-coding RNA. NCBI's taxonomy places the organism in Eukaryota, Metazoa, Chordata, Mammalia, Perissodactyla, Rhinocerotidae. The record is from RefSeq and is a predicted model, not a curated record.